RNAcentral lists this long non-coding RNA (606 nucleotides) under Homo sapiens (human). RNAcentral's name for it is "MIR9-1 host gene, transcript variant 7 (MIR9-1HG)". Lineage: Eukaryota; Metazoa; Chordata; Mammalia; Primates; Hominidae. The record is from RNAcentral.
GGAGAGCAGCAAGAGAAAGAAAGAGAGAGGCAAGCGAAAUUCCUGAAUGGAUAGACAGAUGCUACGUCAUCGGAGCUGCAUCCUCCACUCCACAAGAGGCUAGGAGCUGGGGGGAGAGAGGCAGUCCAGCCGCAGGGGCCACCCGAACAGUCUCUCCUCCUCACAGAAGCCUGGAGCUGGGCAUCCAAGAAGAAGCAGCCUCAUUUGUUUUCUGGUGUCAUCGUAGGUGGCCACCUAUGGCUUUUGGGACCAAAAAGAAGAAUGUACUUCAUCUGGUUGGGCUGGAUUCCCUCUGAUAAGCCUUCCCAGUUGACUGAAAGAUGAGGCUAGGCUCUAGCAAGUUGAAGUCAAACCAGCUCCUUCAAGAAGCUUUGAGCAGAAUGAAGUGGGGAGGACCCAGCUUCCAGCCCAGGAAGCCCACUGUACCUGGAGCCAUCUGGGAUAAGACUUUGACCCAUGACUCCCAUAUCCACAGCCUGUCCAUCCUAGCCCAUCCCAGUUUAUCCUGUAUCAUUUGAGCUGGGAUUCCCACAUCCUCUGAGUUGGAAGUCCCAUCUCAAGUCUUCAAUAAAGACUCUUGAAUAUUGAAUCACAUUAAAAAAAAAA